AGUGAACGCUGGCGGUAGGCCUAACACAUGCAAGUCGAACGGCAGCACAGUAAGAGCUUGCUCUUACGGGUGGCGAGUGGCGGACGGGUGAGGAAUACAUCGGAAUCUACUUUUUCGUGGGGGAUAACGUAGGGAAACUUACGCUAAUACCGCAUACGACCUACGGGUGAAAGCAGGGGAUCUUCGGACCUUGCGCGAUUGAAUGAGCCGAUGUCGGAUUAGCUAGUUGGCGGGGUAAAGGCCCACCAAGGCGACGAUCCGCAGCUGGUCUGAGAGGAUGAUCAGCAACACUGGAACUGAGACACGGUCCAGACUCCUACGGGAGGCAGCAGUGGGGAAUAUUGGACAAUGGGCGCAAGCCUGAUCCAGCCAUACCGCGUGGGUGAAGAAGGCCUUCGGGUUGUAAAGCCCUUUUGUUGGGAAAGAAAAGCAGCAGGUUAAUACCCCGCUGUUCUGACGGUACCCAAAGAAUAAGCACCGGCUAACUUCGUG
This 492-nucleotide ribosomal RNA is filed under the name uncultured bacterium. RNAcentral's name for it is "partial 16S ribosomal RNA". It matches the Rfam family "Bacterial small subunit ribosomal RNA", at positions 29 to 507 of the family's 1533-position model. The record is from RNAcentral.